GUGCACUUUUUGGAAGCACAUAUACUAAAAUUGGAACAAUUCAGAGAAGAUUAGCAUGGCUCCUUUGCAAGGAUGACAUGCAACUUCAUGAAUUUUUAAAUAAUUCU
RNAcentral lists this small nuclear RNA (107 nucleotides) under Dasypus novemcinctus (nine-banded armadillo). Lineage: Eukaryota; Metazoa; Chordata; Mammalia; Cingulata; Dasypodidae. The record is from RNAcentral.